Myodes glareolus (Bank vole) is the source of this 1993-nucleotide long non-coding RNA. RefSeq lists it as uncharacterized. The record is from RefSeq and is a predicted model, not a curated record. NCBI's taxonomy places the organism in Eukaryota, Metazoa, Chordata, Mammalia, Rodentia, Cricetidae.
UAAACCCAGCACAAUCAAAAUAUUAUUCCAAUCUGCAACACCUUUAAAAAUUGUUAGCUCCCGCAGCUGUGAGGAGGCCGCCAAGGUUGUACCUUGCAUCGACACCCAGACUUGCCAGUGAUAAGAGUCACCCAGAUGGUACUGGUUUUGAAAACACGAAGGGGUCACUGAGCAGCAGAGGCUUGGCAGGCACUGUGAGAGGCCAGGAGAGGCCACUGUGUUGAAGGUGCAGUUGAAUGCCUAGUACUGGAGUGGCCAUACAGAGAGGUUGAGGCUGCGACAUGAAGAAAGCCUGCGAGAAGCUAUUGGUGAAAGUGUCGCCCCAUUGAACUAAAAGGCUCCAUCAUUAUGGAGAUUCCAGUACCAUGGGAGGACCACCCAGAAGAGCGACAGCAUCGGGGUGGAGUCUGCUUGAGCUCAGAAGAAAAGCUGUGCCUGCCGCAGAGGGUGGAGCCAGGUAGGUGAGCCAGGCCCUUUAAGGCGCCCAGAAGACCCUGAGUGAAUCUCAGAUGAUCAGACAUAAAGUUCUUUUCCACUUUUGGAGUUUGGUUUUUCUUUGUUCUUAUUGUGACUCUGUCCUGGUGCAUCCCUUUUGAGUCCUCACCUUCAGUUGACGGAUGGUCACCCGUGAGUGCAUGCCCACAGGAGAAGACAGGCCUAAGCCAUCAAACUGCGGCUCCUUCUUUGGCGGUGUCACAGAGAAUUGCUCCUGAGUGUGUGCUCAAGUACACCCACCCAUGUCAGUUGCUCCUGAAUAAAUCCACAAGCACAGGAGUGUCAGCUGAUGACCUCACUUCCUGUUCAUCUCAUCUCCUAGGUGCCGAUGAUCUCACUUCCUCUGACCCUCUCACUUCCUUGGUUCCUUUCCUUACCUCUUUUCUCACUGCAGGUAUCUUUGUAAUUAAAUCUUGUUUAAAAUUCAAAUGUCUUCUUCAGUAAUUGUGAAAAUCAAUGCUAUUACUUUAACAAUUUUUUAAAUAUAUACAUCUAUAUCAGGUAAAGAUAUUAACACGUAAAUUGCUAGUGAUGCUACAGUUUCAGGACAUAAGGAAAAGGCUGGAUGUGGGCAUAUAAAGAUUUUGUAGUGAAUCAGUCCACUGUUGUGUAUUUAUCCUUGAGGAGCAAACUUUAAAUUCCUGUCACUCUGAGGUCUGUUGUCUUGGACUUGCUAAAACCUUUUAAGAAGCAUUGGCUAUGUUCGUUUACAGAAAUAUCUAGGUGCCAUUUGUUUAUGGAACAUUAUAUUACAUUUGUAGGUUUUUAAUCUUAUUGAAGAAAUAUUUUGAAUUUUCCACUGAUAAAAAUACAUAAUUAAUGCAUAAACUAACCCUAAGGCUAUUAUCUAAAUAGUUUAAAUAUUGGUGAAGUAUUUUCUGAAUGCAGCAUUGUGUUUGGGCAUAAAUAACAAUGGUUUUGAGUGAGACACAGGAGGAAAUUAUGAAGAUAUUAACAGAAAUUCUUUAAAAGCAGUCGUGACCUCAUGCAUGUUUAUGGGGGAUGCAGCAAUUUGCUGUGAUUCAAGAUGAGGCCAUCUUUCUCUGCCAUUUAUUGUUUCUCCUUGAAUACUCUACCAGCAUGGCAGAAUACUAAUCUACAGACCCUUGGUAGCAGAGGGCAGGUACAGGGGCUAUUUAUCUAGCACCUUUGGAGUAACAGCAAUGCAAUUCUUAGAUGCUGGGACACCUGCCUCCUAAGUUCAAACUCAACUUCAUUGGCCAAUUAUAAACAGCAAAUACAAACAAAACAAACCAAUGAACAAUGGGGCUUAGGAAAAGGUAUUUGUGGACUGCCCAUGCAUAGUAGGGUCUUUUCUCCUUUUCAGGGAACAAUUCUAUGAUGAAUCAAUGUUUAUAUAGAGUUCUUCUUAAAACAUUUUUCCAUGUCCAGAUGAAAAUCCUACUACAAUUGUGUUUUUGAUAAUAUCAUUAGCUGUAUGCAAGGCACAAUAGAACUUUCCAUUUCUUCUCUUCACUGAAUAAAUGAUCCCUUGAAU